GAUGAACGCUGGCGGCGUGCCUAAUACAUGCAAGUCGAGCGAACGGACGAGAAGCUUGCUUCUCUGAUGUUAGCGGCGGACGGGUGAGUAACACGUGGAUAACCUACCUAUAAGACUGGGAUAACUUCGGGAAACCGGAGCUAAUACCGGAUAAUAUUUUGAACCGCAUGGUUCAAAAGUGAAAGACGGUCUUGCUGUCACUUAUAGAUGGAUCCGCGCUGCAUUAGCUAGUUGGUAAGGUAACGGCUUACCAAGGCAACGAUGCAUAGCCGACCUGAGAGGGUGAUCGGCCACACUGGAACUGAGACACGGUCCAGACUCCUACGGGAGGCAGCAGUAGGGAAUCUUCCGCGAUGGGCGAAAGCCUGACGGAGCAACGCCGCGUGAGUGAUGAAGGUCUUCGGAUCGUAAAACUCUGUUAUUAGGGAAGAACAUAUGUGUAAGUAACUGUGCACAUCUUGACGUUACCUAAUCAGAAAGCCACGGCUAACUACGUG
RNAcentral lists this ribosomal RNA (497 nucleotides) under uncultured bacterium. RNAcentral's name for it is "partial 16S ribosomal RNA". It matches the Rfam family "Bacterial small subunit ribosomal RNA", at positions 28 to 507 of the family's 1533-position model. The record is from RNAcentral.